This is a long non-coding RNA of Rosa rugosa (rugosa rose), 786 nucleotides long. RefSeq lists it as uncharacterized. The record is from RefSeq and is a predicted model, not a curated record. NCBI's taxonomy places the organism in Eukaryota, Viridiplantae, Streptophyta, Magnoliopsida, Rosales, Rosaceae. The transcript is spliced from 3 exons.
CUCUUCCCCCGCGUCGCCCUCUCUCCUUCUUUUUCUGAUUUCUUCACCGUUCGGCGUCCGAUGGACGUGAUUCCAGUUGUCCUUGGACCGUCUCUUCCUCCUCUACACGAUGGUACCAGUGGGUAUCGGCGAUUUGGCCGGCAAACCCCGAAUUUAUGCAAGCAUUGUUACUGUAGCAGUUUGCUUCUCCAGCGAAAUUCUCCAGUUUCCGGCUAUCUUCGGCGGUGAAAUUGGCUCUAUUAGGAGCGCCUCGGGUCACUGAUCAUCUUCCCUCAAGACUUCUAGUUGGAAUUUCCACGUUUGGAAGGUGAAUUUGAAGGAUUUCCAAAUUUGUGGGUUUGGAGAUUUCCGGGUUUGUGUUCAUCGGCAAAAUUGGAGCAUUUCAAGGGCGAUAUACCGAACUAUUGCUCGAUGAAGGAACUCGUAUGCGUGAUCGCCUAAAUAGUACUUUUGCAGGCCAGUUUAGCUUGAGGUCGAGCGUACUUGGGGUUGAGGCAUAGCUGUCAUAGCUUCCGCAUUAUAAAAGUAUCGGUCAUUUAUCUUGCUUUCUAUUCUCUUGUUCGCUUGUACAUUAGAUUGCUCUGAUAACCUAUGAGAUUAAUAUUCUUAAAUUCAGAAUUGUUUAUGAAAUGAGAGAUGUGAGAUGUUGUGAUAUAGGGAGCAGGGUGGCUCCAGGAAAAUAAGGAUGGAUGAUUUGGAAGUGUGGAUGUUUUUCUACAGGUUUUGGGUUGUCCAUUUUUAGGGGAAGUUCUGUCAAAUUGUUGGUAGAAUUUCUUCUAAAGUGGG